CGAUUCUGGCUCAGGAUGAACGCUGGCGGCGUGCCUAACACAUGCAAGUCGAACGGGGUGUCUGAUCUUCGGACUGGACACUUAGUGGCGGACGGGUGAGUAACGCGUGGGUAACCUGCCUCAUACAGGGGGAUAGCAGUUGGAAACGACUGAUAAUACCGCAUAAGCGCACAGUACCGCAUGGUACAGUGUGAAAAAACUCCGGUGGUAUGAGAUGGACCCGCGUCUGAUUAGCUUGUUGGCGGGGUAACGGCCCACCAAGGCGACGAUCAGUAGCCGGCCUGAGAGGGUGAACGGCCACAUUGGGACUGAGACACGGCCCAAACUCCUACGGGAGGCAGCAGUGGGGAAUAUUGCACAAUGGGGGAAACCCUGAUGCAAGCGACGCCGCGUGAAGGAUGAAGUAUUUCGGUAUGUAAACUUCUAUCAGCAGGGAAGAUGAUGACGGUACCUGACUAAGAAGCCCCGGCUAACUACGUGCCAGCAGCUGC
Molecule: ribosomal RNA, 491 nt
Filed under: uncultured bacterium
Lineage: Bacteria
Description: bacterial SSU rRNA
Rfam family: Bacterial small subunit ribosomal RNA
Source: RNAcentral